This 440-nucleotide ribosomal RNA is filed under the name uncultured bacterium. RNAcentral's name for it is "partial 16S ribosomal RNA". It matches the Rfam family "Bacterial small subunit ribosomal RNA", at positions 338 to 795 of the family's 1533-position model. The record is from RNAcentral.
CCUACGGGGGGCAGCAGUGGGGGAUAUUGCACAAUGGGGGGAACCCUGAUGCAGCGACGCCGCGUGGGUGAAGGAGCGUUUCGGCGCGUAAAGCCCUUUCGGUAGGGAAGAAGAUGACGGUACCUGGCCAAUAAGCCCCGGCUAACUACGUGCCAGCAGCCGCGGUAAUACGUAGGGGGCAAGCGUUAUCCGGAUUUACUGGGUGUAAAGGGGGCGCAGACGGGAAUGCAAGCCAGGAGUGAAAGCCCGGGGCCCAACCACGGGACUGCUCUUGGAACUGCAUUGCUGGAGUACAGGAGGGGCAGGCGGAAUUCGUGGUGUAGCGGUGAAAUGCGUAGAUAUUAGGAGGAACACCGGUGGCGAAGGCGGCCUGCUGGACUGUGACUGACGUUGAGGCGCGAAGGCGUGGGGAGCAAACAGGAUUAGAUACCCGGGUAGUC